Molecule: ribosomal RNA, 421 nt
Filed under: uncultured bacterium
Lineage: Bacteria
Description: bacterial SSU rRNA
Rfam family: Bacterial small subunit ribosomal RNA
Source: RNAcentral
UGAGGAAUAUUGGGCAAUGCCCGCAAGGGUGACACAGCAAAGCCGAGUGGAGGAAGAAUGUCGUAAGAUUGUAAACACCAGUUAGAGGGGAAGAAUAGUACCGGUUGGACCGGUAUAUGACUGUACACUCAGAGAAAGCGCAGGCUAACUACGUGCAAGCAGACGCGGUAAUACGGAGGGUGCAAGCGUUAUACGGAUAUACUGGGUUUAAAGGGUGCGUAGGCUGGCAUGUAAGUCAGUGGUGAAAUACCGGAGCUUAACUUCGGACCUGCAAUUGCUCCUAUAUGUCUUGAUUAUUGUCGAGGUAUGCGGUAUUUUUCAUGUAUCGGUGUAAUGCAUAGAUAUGACAUCGACCCCCGAUUGCGGUGGCUGCUUGCUACGCAAAUAUUGACGCUGAGGCACGAAAGCGUGGGGAUCAAAC